AGGGUGGGUGAAACAGCCUUACGUCAGAAGAGGACCUGGCUAGGACUUUAAUGGCUGGAGAGAAGUCAGUGCCUGGCUUCAAUUCUUCAAGGCUUGGACAGAGGGACUCUUCUGUAGGGGUGCACGCAGCUGCUGACUUUU
This is a non-coding RNA of Canis lupus familiaris (dog), 141 nucleotides long. Lineage: Eukaryota; Metazoa; Chordata; Mammalia; Carnivora; Canidae. The record is from RefSeq and is marked provisional.